Molecule: long non-coding RNA, 378 nt
Organism: Uloborus diversus
Lineage: Eukaryota; Metazoa; Arthropoda; Arachnida; Araneae; Uloboridae
Exons: 3
Source: RefSeq, a predicted model, not a curated record
CAAGUGGAGGUCUGGAACUAAAUGUGGAUGCUAUUCUUGCAUUCAGAGAAUCAAAAGAAGUUUCUGAAGAUGAUAGCUUUGAAAAAUUAGAUGUCUCUCCCGAGGAUUUUGAGUUUGUUGAACUGGGAAGCCUGAAAACAAUGGAAUCCAAAAGAAUUGUUUUCAAAAAGUCAGAUUUUAAUGAAGAAGAACAAAGUGAAAUGGAAGUAAUGAAAUUUUUGUAUGGAGAUCAAUCUUCUACGAUUAGUGGAUUAGAAACUUGCAUGAAUAUAAACUUUAAUCACCUUUGUGACCUUUAUCAGCCAAUAUUGUGGCCUGUUUUGCCUGUUCGUUUGUAACUUUGUUGUUGAUUUUAUGAAAUAAAUUUUACUUUCUUUA